AGAGUUUGAUCAUGGCUCAGAUUGAACGCUGGCGGCAUGCUUAAUACAUGCAAGUCGAACGGUAACAGAUUCUUCGGAAUGCUGACGAGUGGCGGACGGGUGAGUAAUACAUAGGAAUCUGCCCAUGUAGUGGGGGACAACUUGGGGAAACUCAAGCUAAUACCGCAUAAUUCCUACGGGAUAAAGAGGGCCACUGCUUGCAAGCUCUUGCUACUGGAUGAGCCUAUGUCGGAUUAGUUAGUUGGUAAGGUAAUGGCUUACCAAGACAGCGAUCCGUAGCUGGUUUGAGAGGAUGAUCAGCCACACUGGGACUGAGACACGGCCCAGACUCCUACGGGAGGCAGCAGUAGGGAGUAUUGGACAAUGGGCGCAAGCCUGACCCAGCAAUGCCGCGUGUGUGAAGAAGGCCUGCGGGUUGUAAAGCACUUUCAAUUGGGAAGAAAGAUUAUGAGUUAAUACCUUAUAAUAUUGACGU
This 475-nucleotide ribosomal RNA is filed under the name uncultured bacterium. RNAcentral describes it as "bacterial SSU rRNA". It matches the Rfam family "Bacterial small subunit ribosomal RNA", at positions 8 to 475 of the family's 1533-position model. The record is from RNAcentral.